This 246-nucleotide ribosomal RNA is filed under the name uncultured Actinomycetes bacterium. RNAcentral's name for it is "uncultured actinobacterium partial 16S ribosomal RNA". It matches the Rfam family "Bacterial small subunit ribosomal RNA", at positions 28 to 276 of the family's 1533-position model. The record is from RNAcentral. Lineage: Bacteria; Bacillati; Actinomycetota; Actinomycetes.
GACGAACGCUGGCGGCGUGCUUAACACAUGCAAGUCGAGCGGUAAGGCCCUUCGGGGUACGACGAGCGGCGAACGGGUGAGUAACACGUGGGUGACCUGCCCUUAGCUCUGGGAUAAGCCUGGGAAACUGGGUCUAAUACCGGAUAUGACUCCAUGACGCAUGUUGUGGGGUGGAAAGCCUUGUGCGGCUAGGGAUGGGCCCGCGGCCUAUCAGCUUGUUGGUGGGGUGAUGGCCUACCAAGGCGA